UGAAGGCAUGAAUAAGAAGGCUUAGGCUGGAGUUUGCCAUGUGAUAUUUGGAGUGUUGGUUGCAUCCUCGUUGAGCUAUGCUCGGGGGAGACAUUGUUUCAGACACAUGAGAACCUGGAACACCUAGCAAUGAUGGAGAGGGUUUUGGGACCCAUACCAGAGAGCACAUGAUACGGAAGGCUAGAUAUGUGAUACCUGGAGGGCGGAUCUUGUACGCCGUUGAAGCUGGC
Molecule: long non-coding RNA, 230 nt
Organism: Triticum dicoccoides
Lineage: Eukaryota; Viridiplantae; Streptophyta; Magnoliopsida; Poales; Poaceae
Exons: 4
Source: RefSeq, a predicted model, not a curated record